Molecule: small nuclear RNA, 104 nt
Filed under: Mandrillus leucophaeus (drill)
Lineage: Eukaryota; Metazoa; Chordata; Mammalia; Primates; Cercopithecidae
Source: RNAcentral
GUGCUCACUUCGGCAGCCCAUAUACUAAAAUUGGAACGAUACAGAGAUUAGCAUGGCCCCUGCACAAGGAUGACAUGCAAAUUCAUGAAGCAUUCCAUAUUUUU